Molecule: long non-coding RNA, 19279 nt
Filed under: Theobroma cacao (cacao)
Lineage: Eukaryota; Viridiplantae; Streptophyta; Magnoliopsida; Malvales; Malvaceae
Description: long non-coding RNA (TCAC_LNC002425)
Source: RNAcentral
AAGAACAAAGGAAGAAAAGAAGAACACCAACCCUAGGUGGAAAAAUUCAAGGGAAAAGUGUGGAAAUUCAAGUAAUCAAGCAAUCAAAGGUAAAAUUUCUUGAUUUUGACUUGCGAUCUACCUUUCCCAUGCAUUAUUUUGCAUUUUCCAUGGUUGAAUCACAAGAUAUCAUGAAGGAUUCAUGGCUGACCGAAUUUAGAGAGAGAAGAUUUGAUGAUUGAUUUGGUUAGAUUUUAAGAUAUUUUACUGUUUUUAGUUAGUUAGUGAUGUGUAGCAUGGAAAUCAAGCAAGAAAAAUUCAUUUUCUCCCAUCACCCAUCAUUGGCCGAAUUUUCCAUGUAGAGUGUGGAUGAUGAUUUUGAUUUUAUUUCAAGUGAAUUGGUUAGGAAAUGAUGAUUUAUGGUGUGAGAAUCAAGUAGAAAAAAUCAUAGUAUUGAUGCACCCACCAUGGUCGAAUUUUUCAAGAGAAAAUGUGAAGAUGAUUUUGCUAGAUUUUAUGCUAUUUGACUUGUGUUUGAUGAGUUGGAGUAUUGAGAUAAAAAUGGAGUUAAUUGGAGUUGAAUUGGACAUAUUGGCCAAUUAAUCGAGUGAUAGAUCAAAUUAGGCCAAUACCAAUUUAAUUAGGAACCCAAAUGAAUUUGUGUAGAAUACCGUGUUUAGACAGUAAUCCGAACAAUUUGCAUCCCAUUUCAUGCAUUAGUAUAGAGCCUGAAUUGGUUUUAUAACAAUUUAGCACUAAUGUAGUAAAUGGUUUAUUGUGCAUUAUGUCUAAGUGGUGAGCAUUCUGGCAAAAGUAAAGAGAUAGUACCUGAGGAUCAAGAAUCGGAGUACUUGAAAUUUGACUUUUGAAAUAGUGAGUAACCUUAUCAUCAUCUUGAUUAUCUGAAGUGAAUUUUAAUUCAUUUUUGUGAUUUUAUGGAAAAUGAGUUUAAAUGGUAAAUCUUUAUGCUUUAAAAGCAAAAUGUGAUUAAAUGAAAUGAUUUUAUAAAAUUGUCUUGAAAUUGAAUGAUGGUUUUGGAAAAUGGAGAAAUUGGAGACUAAUUGUAGUGUUGUAAAUUAUGGUUUGAAUUGAGUGGCUUAUGAUAAUGUGGGCAUAAGUGGCUGAAUUGGUAAUUGUGCUAAACAUAUGUGAACUGUUGUUUUGCCUUGACAUGUUGUGUUGUAAAAUAAUUGCCACGUUAUGCUACUGAAAUUUUAUUGAUUUGGUGGGAUAUCGAUUAGCUUACUGCAGUUGGCGGGUUUCCGUGGACCGGCCUACUAGAGGGGCACGGUAAACCUCGUUAUAUCUUACCUCAGUAUGAGAGGUGCAGAUGGAUAACUCUUGAGGUUAACACUUUAGAGUUCACUUCACGCCAAACCACGACGUGAGGGUGAACUCAGCUAACGCCAAGAAACAGCUUUGUUUCAAAAUAAAAACAUGAUUUAUGUGCACAUAACUUUUUAACAGCCUUGGCGAACUAGGUUGGGAUAGCCCUCGAUCAAGGCAUCCCUGAUAACUGGGUAUGAGAAUGAUUUUGGCAGGAGCCAAAGUUUUAAGAAAUUCAUAAGCCAUGUUGAUUACUCGAUUUAUAUGAAUUGAUUAUUUUUGGUUGAAACAAGUUGAAAGGUGAUGUAUUACAAUAUGUUAAACUGUUUAUCUGUCUCCAUUUACUCAACUUUAGAUGUUUUAGAUGGUAUUUGUUUACUCACUAGGAUUAUAUAAUCUCACCACCCUCCUUUUCACCCCUUUCAGGCUCAAGAUAGUCGGUAGAUAGCUCACUUUGUUGAGGGCUACAGUUGGACUUGCAUCCUCAAAAACUGUAGGUUUACUGCUUUUAAUACUUUUGGUUAUUCGAGGGCCCACUUGUUACUAUAAAUUAAAUUAAAUACUCUGGCUUACUGUAUUACAAUAUAUAUGAAUUUAUUUUGCUUUUAAGCUGUAAAAACUAUUUAUGCAAUGUUCUAAAAAUAUUGUUUUGUGAGAAAAUUGAAUAUUUUAUUUAAUAUUUUUAUUUUAUUCUAAUAAUCAUAAUUUCAUUUUAAAUGAAGGUUUUAGAUGUUUAAACUUAUUUUUGAUUAUGAAUUAUGUGUUUUGUACUCGCAUACUACAUUUUUAGCAGAUUUCGAGAUUUUUAAGGAAAAAUGAUCGAAAUACCCCUAUGAGAAAAAAAUUGUUUUUCUAUUGUUUUGAUUUGGAAAUAGUUUAUAAUCUCUCAAAACAUAAUUUUAGUGACUAAUACUCAUAGGGGAAGCGAGAAAAAUUGAUGCUAAGCCUUGCGAGGUUUCGAUUAAUAUUUCGGGUAAUGAAUGUCUAUCGGGACGUCGCGACGGUUGUCACGGGCUCGAUGGGAGUUCUAGGUAGUGACAAUUCUAUUGGUAUCAGAGCUUUUGGUUUUAAAGAUUUGAGCUUUUGGGUUUAAAGUUGUUUUAAAGUUAUCUUAAAAACUAUAGUGUUAGUGUGGCCCCGAGUUAAGUUAGGUUUGAUAGAAUAGAAUACGUAUAUCUGCAUAUAGAAUUUGGAGUUGUUUAGACUCGUUUUGUUUCUUCUUAUAGAUCUUAUGAGAGCAUAAGUCAUAGACAGGGAGCUAUAUGAACUCCUAUUCCCAAUAAUCCACUUUUUUGUUAAUGUCAUGCAAAGGUCACAAGUAGGGCCGUUGUUCGGGUUUAAAAUGCCACCUGUGACACGAGCCUGUGUUAGAGAGAUCUUAAAACAAAUGCUUCUAAUGAAAGAUUAAUGAAAUGAUAUAUCCCUCCGAUUAAGGAUAGAGAAAUUUGGAGUUGGACUAAUAGGCCGUGAUAAUUUGUUCAUUUGGUGGAGUUAUAAUUGAACUCAUGGUUGUUAAUUGGAAAAAGAUUUGGGGACUAUGGAUUAUAUUGGGGUUAAUAUAAAGGAGCACCUGUGAUAAUGGUAAUAAGGGGAACAUUUUGAUUAGAAUGAAUAGUGAUGAUUGUAAUUCACCUGGAGUGUAUAAAUUAAGCAUUCAGGUAAGAGUAAACCCAUACUUAUGUGGAUGAAGAUAAAAACACUAUGUUAAUUGAGCUUGUUAUGCCCAUAUAAAAGUGGUGUUGGGAUUUUGAAAUAUUUUAUAUGUGAAUAUGUGUUGAAUUGGUACAGCAGCUUAAAGGGAACUGAUGUUGAUUUCAAUUAAGCGAUUGUGAGAUUUCAAGAAUUAAUUGGACCUAUUAUAGUUCAUGGAUAUAAGCACGUGAAUUAACUCGAGAGUGAGUAUCAAUGAUUACUAUAAUUGAUGUGUGGUCAUGAAGUAAGAAAUUAGUAAACAAAUCUACUCUAAGGAUGAGCUUGAACUUUGCUAUGCAUAGAAAAAGGGGGAGCCAAGGGAUUGAAGGACUAGAUGUGGAAUUGGCAGCUUUAGGUUAAAUGAUUUAGAAAUGUCAAAUCUAGUCUAAGUGCCAUAAGAAGUUCUAUAAUUGAGACUGAUAUAUGAAUUACUUGAAAGAUCAAUUUAAAAGUUUAUUUGGUUCAAAGUGUGGCCUAUGAUACGAAUGAUCAAUCUUGAAGGUGAUCUCCGCAAAGUAAGGAAUUUAGAAAAUGUUGAUGUUUGGGUAUACUCUAAGAGAGAGAACUUCUGCAUCCUAAGUUUAGGACAACUUUGAUCUUAUGAUCGCAAAGGCAAGGUGUAAUAACUAAGUAAAUUAUUCACUUAAUAAAUGUGAUUGCUUAUUGAUGAAUAAAGUCAAGAUCUUAACAUUUAGUGGUAUACAAUUUGAUAAUUAUGUCUUUAAGAGUUAUUUGGAGACAAUUCCUUCAUCAAAUUUGCACUAAAUGCUAUGGUAAAGGCAUAUCAAUGUUAAUAUGGAAAUGUAUCCAGAAAUGAUCUUAACAUACCACCAAAAAAGAAUUAAACAUGUUGAAAUUAAUGUUCUAAUAGUGUGCAUAUGAUCGAAAGCUAGUUUGUAAGUUGUAGUUUUCAUGAUCAUGAAAUAUAUAAAGAUUAUCAAUCAAUGGACAUACACUUGGAGUUGUAAUUUACAAGUUUGGAGUAUUUAAGAUAUGAUUAAAUGGAAUUAGCAUUAGUUAAGGUACGUAAAUCUUUUAAUUAAUUUCUGUGGAGUAUACAUGAUAGUAGAAUGGAGGAACAUAGUGCUGUGAUACUAUAUGGUGAAGUUACUAUACAAUAUGGAAAGAGUAUUCUAAAGUGGGAUUUAUUGAUUAUUGACAAGUGUUAUAGGAUGAGAUGAAUUUAAAAAUAUCAACUUUACCUAUUAUAUGUGAUAAGCACAAGAGGAUAUAAAUGGUUAUGGAAAUUGUGACGUAAGCUUGGAAGGAAACCAAACGGUUGAGAAUGAUUAAUAUAGUAACCUUAAAUAUAGAUGAAUAACAUUGAUUAAGUAAACUCCAACAGCCACUGUGCCGUGCUGUUAAGAACACUUCAUGUUUAGGACGUAUGAAUAAAAUGAGACAGAUGUGAAGUUCAACUUACGAGUUGACCUAAAGUCAUUGAACUUGAUUCUAAGUUUUGUUAACUGGUGUUUUAAGGUUUUGGAAGGUAUCGAUAUGAAUGAGUUAAAGCUGAAUAGGUUAAAGGCGUUCCCUUCAGGGGGGAAGAAAAAGGUUUGGGGUUCGAAACUUGGCGAGAAGGUCCUACAAGGCUUGUCUUGUCGCCCUUAGGCACGACGUAUGCGAGUAAGUCAAGUGAUGGGGACCCAGACAUAACAAUACCUUGAAGUAGGCCCCGAAGGGGAUGCCACAUAAAUGGCUAAGUUAUGGGUUAAGUGAUCACAUGUUGUGAGACAUAAGUUUAAGAUAGAUAUCCCCAAGGAAAUUCUCAAGAGAAGUUCUGCCAUGGAUCUCGUGAAAGCAAGCACUAAGUUAUGUGGUUAUAAAAAGAAAGCUGUAAGCUGAGAGUGAUAUUAGUAUUAAUAUUGAAAAGUACUUGAGGAGAAUCUAGUUUCAAGUCUUGCAAUUUCAAGUACAAUUUGUAAAUUGGUUAAGGAAAAAUGAUGUUAUAUUCAUAUGAAAGAGUGGAACAAAGGAUGAUUGAAGUUGACCUUGAUAAUGAAGUCAGAUAAUGAAACUUUCCUAAUAUAUUAUGGAAAUUGGAAUUCAAAAAUGCUUGAGGCAUACAUGAUUCAAAUGAGUCUGAGUUUUAAGUGACAAAUCAAUAUCGGAAUGCAAGAAGGAUACAAGGUAAUUUAGAGGCAUGAAAGAUAAUCGAGGAAUAAGGAUGACUCUUAGGAAUUGUGGUAUUGCAUAAGAUGCAAUGAUCAAGUUAAGAUAAAUCUUUGAAGUAUCAAUGGGAUUAUAAGGCAUACACGCAUAAUAAAUUAUAAUUCAAUGGAGAUGACAUUAUGAUGCAAUGAUAUAUAGUAUAAGGAAACUUAAGCAUAUAAUUGGAAAUGAUAAGAAGAAAGUAUAAGUAUGUAAAUGAUGUGAAACUAUGCACAGGCAUGAUGAGAAUUUAUAUUGAUUAUGAAGAUUAUUCUAUUGAAUCUUGGUUAUGGAUGGAAAUGAACAAAGAGAAAUUAGUCUGAAGGUAUUUGUAAAUAGAGACCCGUAUACAUAAUGAGGAAUAUGGACAUUUGAAUGUGCGUGUAUACGUAUGUGUGGAGUUAGUGAUGUACCUAAUUAAAAUGAAAAAUGGUUUUAGUGGUUCGAGAUCUGAACUCAAUAUAUUUGAUGAGUUGUAUAGAUAAUGUAAUAAUCAAGAAUCUUAUCAAAAGUUGAUUUAUGGCGACCUAAGGAAUUUUGGGAAAUAGUUAAGGAAAUGUAAUCUAUAGUGCGAUUAAGCCAUAUUAGAUGGAUUUAUAGGAUUAAGAAGAUUGGAAUUUCCUAAAUGCAAGGUAAACAUGAAGUAUGUGAAAAUAAUUGAAGCCAUUAAUCUUCCCUAACAUUGAGGAUAUGUAUAAGAAUGAAUAUGGCAUGUUAAUGAUACUGUAAACUACACAAUAAUUUAUGAGGAUAAGAUGAAUGAAUGAAAGUCGAGAAAUUUGAUAUGGAAUGAAGUAAUAAGAUAAUGAUUAGUAUACCUAAAUAAGUAUAAAAUGCGAUCGAAAUUGAUAUGAUUGAGAUGGAGUUAUGGUUCAAAUUUAAUGAUAGUAAUAGAAGCAUGCUUGGUGUCUUGAUAUAAGAGAUCAUAAUUGUGAAGGUUACUGUUGAUCUGAUUUUAAAGGAUAAUAAUAGACAUAAGUGAAGUACUCGAGUUGAAUUGGAGGUAAAUGAGGUGAACAAAUCGAAAUUCCCUAUCAAGCGGAGGACAUAAGAAGUCGAGCAUUAGAUGAGAAAACAAUACCCCUACCUUUUCUCUGAGUUCAAUAAAUAAAAUUUUGAGGUCAAAAUUUUAUUUUAAGGGGGGUAGUAUUGUCAAGCCCGACUUUACAAUAUGUUUAUUAUGUCAUUCUUACAUAAGAAUGCAUGUUUGCUUACUUGGGUGUCACGACCCAAUUUUUUGGGCCAUGAUUAGCGCAUGGGUCCAAUGGACGUAACCCACUAAACCCAAGCAAGUCUAUUAUUUAUCUUACUUAUAAUUCCAUCUAUUAUCACUAAGUCAUAUUUCAUAACUUUGAAUCAAAAUAGUGAUAUACAUUGCCAACUCGUACUGGCAUUACUCAUUUAAAAUUUACAUUAAGUUCAUCUAUACAUAACAAAAUAAUAUUCGACUUCCAACGGAGGGACUCGGAUGAAUAUAUAGCUACCGAAUGCCGAGACACCUACCAAAAGAUGGACAUAGGUCUACAAGGACACCUUGUCUUAAUUAUUUGCUGCCUCGUGAUCUGAAAACAUGAAUUUUUAUAAAACGUGAGUACAAUACUCAGUGAGUGAAUAUUAGAAGGGAACAAGCAAUCUCAACCAAGAAAUUUGACAAUCAUGAUGCACCGGUUGAAAAUAAAGCCAUUUUCAUCUAACUACUAUUCCAAACCCUUUUUCCCUUACCUAGAAAUUUAUUACGCAUUCAAGGAUUAAACAUCCUUGAAUUUACACCGAUCCUUCUAGCAAAGUAGUAAAACUGACGAUUAUUUACAAAUCGUCACACAAUAAGGGUUUCACAACCCGUACGAUUCAUAUAUGCAUAUGUAUCAUGUACAAUUUCAUUCACCAAUUGUUCUAUCAAGCAAGAUAGCAAAAUUAACAGUUUAUCAUAAACCAUCACAAACAAGGGUUUCACAUACCACACAAUCAAACAUAUAUACACAAAGAUAUGAGCAAUUAUAUACACCACCAAGUCUUCACUAUUCUUGGUGGUACAAAGAAAUAACUAUCGAAGUACUCGGUAAGGGGUAUCAUUCAGUAUCCCUCUUUGCACACAUCUGAAUUUUUAGGAAAUUGUUCGCGUUAAGUAUCGUCGUCCCCACAACCUUUAUCAUUAAACCGACAUUGCAUUUCCCACUCCGCACAUGCACGGUCGUAAUUAUCACAUCCUUUGUCAUUCAACUAGCAUUGCACUUCCCACACCGCACAUGCACGGUUGCAUCAAUUUCACCAUAAUUUAUUAAUAAUGCAUAUCAGCAUAAUACAAGGGUACACGAUUCAGUACACUUAAUUUCACACAAUUUCUCAAUAAUACAUGUAGGCAUCAUACAGAUAUACACAGAUGCAUAGCAAUCAUAUCUAACAUCACAGAAAUAUUUUCACUAAAGGCUUGGUCCCAAGAUUCAUUUUUAAAUGGGAAUUAGAUAUAAUCAUUCACGCAUUUCAUUUCAACUUAAUUAGAAUUCCCAAAUAAAUUUUGAAAUGCAAAUUCACUCACUGGUGUCAAAAAUCCGGAUUCCAGGUGCACUCAGACUAAUAGUCCUUAAGCGUAAUUCCUUUGCCUUUUUCGGACGUCUCACUACCUUGUCAAAUAACAAAGUCGAGGAAUUUACUAUAUUGUCCCUAAAUUGAUAUAAACUAAUUUAAAUUACUAACGCUUGAUAUGUAAAUGCAAAAAUAGGUCCGAUUACCGCUUAAUCGCGGUAUCGAUUAAAUUAGACCGAUCACCCGAUUAAUUGGCGAUUGUGUCCAAAUCACCUCCAAAUUAAUCCAUUUCUCCUCUAAUACCUUAAUUUACCACAUACCAUUUAAAUAAAGCCCAAUUCAGCAUUAGAACCCUCACAGUUCUUUAUAGAAAAAUUCGAUCAUUUGGUGCACUAGCACCGAAAUUUUUCUACAUAACCAUUUCACCUCAAUUCAUCAUUUUUCAAGCCAUUUUCCUUGAAAUAAAAACAAUCCCCCAUUGAUAUUCAGCCCUCAUGGUUCGACCAACAAGGAACCCUACAGAAACUGAAUAUUUCUUUUGUGUUUUUGUUCAUAACCAUGCUUAACUAUCCCUAAACACUAACAUAGUCUAAAAUCAAAUUAUUCCAACAACAAUUCCUCUUCCAUACCCAUUUUUAAGAAUUGAAUUCAUCAUGAUAACUCAAUAUUCAACCAUGGAAAUCAAGAACAAAAGCAUGGGUAAGCUAUGUAUCAAGUAGAAUUAAAGAAAUUUUAACUUACCUAGCUUGUUUCCUUGAUUUCUUCACUUUUUCUUUGAAUUUCCACCAGGUUUUCUUGUUUUUCCCUUUGUUCUUCCUUUUUUCUUGUUGCUGGUUGUCUAGGCCGAAUAUGGUUAGAGAAUUGGGGAUUUAAUGGGCUGAUUUCUAUAGAAAAUAAUACAAUAAUCAAGCAUGCCACAUGUCACAUGCUUAUUGGCCCAAUUUUUUUACUUUUUGACUUUUUCUUCUUAAUUUUCCACCACAAAUAUUCUGGUAUUUAUCCAAUCCUACCACAAUUAAAAUCCCUUAGUCUUGACAAGUGCUGGGGCGAAAAAUUUACCGAUUUUCCUCCGAGGUGAAAAAAUUACGAUUUUACCCCUAUACUCCGAAAUAUACCGGAAUCACAUUAUUUCUACUUUUCAACCUCAAAUAACACUAAUAUUGAUCAAUAUUAACCAAAUGGGGCAAAAAUCGUUUUAUAAAAAUUCUCGUUUAGUCUUCUAGUGGUAAAAUUACUAUUUUGCCCUUGUGCUCUAAAAAUAUCGGGAAUCAUAAUUUUUCACUGCUAAACAUCAUUCUAUACUCCAAUAAUCAUAAUUAUAUUUCAUAUAAUUAUUCUUGAUCAAAUGUGAUCAAAUCUUCGCUAGAAAUCUCCAUUUUAUCAUCAAAUGGUAAAAUGACCAUUUUGUCCCUAAUCGGUCAAUUUUCCUAAUGGACUCCAAACUGGACCUUGAACUCCAAAUCACUAUUCUAAGCCAUUCUGUGGGUUUCAAAAUUUUCAAUUUCCUCUUAGAAUUUCUAUUUGAACUAGUUCAAGGUUCGAUUUAACUUAGUUGUACCACUCGGUACAAUACCAUCUUUUAAUCGAGCUUGACAAGGUCUCACAUUCUCCCCCACUAAUAAAUAUUUGAUCCCCGAAUUUAAACUCAAUGUAGAGUGGGUUACCUUUACAUAUCGAAGAGGUGUGGAUACUUUGUCCGCAUGUCAUCCUCAGCUUCCCACGUUACCUCCUCGCUAGUGUGAUUUCGCCACAACACUUUCACAGACGCUACAUCCUUUGAACGGAGCUUUUUAACUUGCCUAUCAAGGAUAGCUAUCGGUUGUUCCUCAUAGGUUAGAUCAUCUUGCAACUGAAUGGUUUCAUACCGUAUUACAUGCGAUGGAUCUGGGUUGUACUUCCUAACCAUGGACACAUGAAACACGGGAUGGAUAUUCGAAAGGUCUAGCGGUAAUGCCAAACGAUAUGCCACUGCUCCAACCCUUUCUAAGUCUCGAAGGGUCCUAUAUACCGAGGACUUAACUUCCCUUUCUUGCCAAACCUCAUUACCCCUUUAGUUGGAGAAACUUUAAAAAAUACAUGAUCUCCUACUUGGAACUCCAAGUCUCUCUGUCGGUUAUCAGCAUAUGACUUUUGUCUACUUUGUGCUGUUAACAUCCUCUGACAGAUCAUGCGUAUUUUCUCAGUGGCAUCCUGCACCAACUCAGGCCCCAAAAGUUUCCUUUCUCCUACCUCUAGCCAUCCAAUGGGUGACCUACAUCUCUAUCCAUAUAAUGCCUCAAAUGGUGCCAUUUGGAUGCUAGUUUGGAAACUGUUGUUGUAGGCAAAUUCCACUAAGGGUAGAUAUUGCUCCCACCUGACACCAAGGUCUAUCACACAAGCCCUCAACAUAUCCUCCGAUGUCUGUAUGGUCCGUUCAAACUGUCCAUCAGUCUAAGGGUGGAAAGCUGUGCUGAAAUCUAACUUAGUGGCCAAUGCUUCUUGCAACUAUCCCCAAAACCUACUAGUAAACUGAGCUCCUCUGUCAGAUACUAUAGAAAUGGGAAUACCAUGCAGUUGUACUAUCUCAUCCACAUAAACUCGAGCGUAUUGGGCAGCCUCGUAAGUAGUCUUAACCGGAAGAAAAUGAGCUGACUUUGUUAACCGGUCUACUACUAUCCAAUUGAAUCAUAUCCACCACUGGUUCGAAGCAAACCCAUUACAAAGUUCAUAGCAAUAUGUUCCCACUUCCACUAGAGUACUGGUAAUGGCUGUAGUAGCCCUACAGGCUUUUGAUGCUCGGCCUUAACCUGCUGACAAACCAGGCACUUGGAGACAAACUCAGCUACAUCUCUCUUAAGUCCUUCUCACCAAUACACCUCUUUCAAAUCUUGAUACAUCUUUGUAGCCCCUAGAUGUACCACAUAAGCUGCCAUGUGAGCUUCCUCCAAUAUUUCUCUCCUCAACCCAUCACCAUCAGGCACAUAAAGUCUGGUUCCAUACCUCAACACUCCAUCUGUGCCUUUAGUAAACAUUUUUCCUUUCCUAACCUGAGGAUCCUCUAAGGCCUUAGUCACAAACUCAUCUUUACUUUGUGCUUCUUUAAUCUUGUCCAUUAAAAUAGGCCUCACUCUAAAAUGUGCUAGCAAAGCAUUUGUCUCCACAACUUCCAAAUGCACACCUAUGUCUCCCAAGCUAUGGAUCUCUCUAACCAAUGAUCUCCUAUCAGUAGAAAUAUGUGCCAAGCUUCCCAUUGAUUUUCAACUCAAGGCAUCUACCACUACAUUGACCUUACCGGGAUGAUAAAGAAUAGUACAAUCAUAAUCCUUUAGCAACUCCAUCCAUCUACGUUGCCGUAAGUUAAGAUCCCUCUGCUGAAAUAUAUACUUCAGACUUUUGUGGUUCGUGUAUAUCUCGCAAGUCUCACCAUACAAGUAAUGUCUCCAAAUCUUUAAGACAAACACGAUUGCUACCAUUUUCAAAUCGUUUAUGGGGUAAUUCUGCUCAUGCCUUUUAAGUUGUCUAGAUGCAUACGCAAUCACCUUCCCAUGUUGCAUUAAUACACAUCCUAAACCAACCCUCGAUGCAUCAUAAAACACCGUAUAACCCCCUUGUGCCUUGUGGUAGGCUUAACACUGUAGCUGUGGUGAGACAUGCCUUAAGCUUCUCAAAACUAUUCUCACAAGCAUCAGACCACUCAAAUUUUGUAUCUUUACGUGUCAGCUUAGUUAGAGGGGAAACUAUUUUGGAGAAGUCCUUCACAAAGCGACGAUAAUAGCUAGCUAAACCCACAAAGCUUCUAAUCUCCGUAACUGAUGUUGGCCUUGGCCAUUUUUCCACUUCUUAAAUUUUCUUUGAAUCAACUUGUAUCCCAUCCUUAGAUACCACAUGCCCCAAUAAUGCAACACUUUUGAGCCAAAACUCACACUUGGAGAACUUAGCAUACAAUCGAUGUUCUCUCAAAAUUUAGAGCACUAUCUUAAGAUGCUGCUCAUGCUCUUCUCGGCUCUUUGAAUAUAUCAAGAUGUCAUCAAUAAACACCACCACAAACUUAUCCAAAUAAGGCUUAAACACUCGGUUCAUCAAAUCCAUGAAGGCUGCAGGAGCAUUCGUGAGCCCAAAUGACAUCACUAAGAACUCAUAGUGCCCAUAUCUUGUUCGAAAUGCAGUCUUGGGUAUAUCUUCGUUCCAGAUUCUCAACUGAUGGUACCCAAAUCGCAGAUCUAUCUUAGAGAAACAUUGUUCUCCUUGUACUUGAUCAAAUAAAUCAUCUAUCCUUGGGAGAGGAUACUUAUUCUUCACCGUCACUUUAUUAAGCUAUCGAUAAUCAAUGCACAGCCUAAGUGACCCAUCUUUCUUCUUCACAAAUAACACUGGUGCUCCCCAUGGGGGUACACUAGGAUGGAUGAAGACUUUAUCCAACAAAUCUUCUAAUUGAUCCUUAAGCUCUUUGAGCUCUGUCGGUGCCAUUCUAUAUAGGGGUAUGGAUAUAGGUCUAGUGUCGGGAAUUAAAUCUAUGCAAAAUUCAAUCUCCCGUUCGGGAGGUAAACCUAGUAGCUCCUCGGGAAAUACAUCCACGAACUCCUUCACCACCGACACUUGACUUACAUUUCCAACCUUCGCCUGAGUAUCCCUUACAACAACCAAGUAACCUAUAAACCCUGUCGUAUUAACCUUCUAGCAGAAAUGACCGAUAUCAAAUUGGUUGGAGCAUUACUCCUAUCCCCCUGAAUACUAAAUGAUGAUUCAUCGGGGAAAUCAAAUCUAACCAAUUUAUGAUAACAGUCCACACUAGCAUGACAAGGUGAUAACCAAUCCAUCCACAAGAUCACAUCAAAGUCUAAGGUGUCUAACACCACUAGAUUCAUCAAAGUAUCUUUGUCCCGCCGCAAUACUAGCACUAGGCGAGUCAUUCCCCUGCUGGGGUAAUCGUCAGUUCCUCUAUGGACCUUGACGGCUAGAAGAUGAACCACCACUACUGAAAUCUUUACGGCCUUGAUAACCUUCUAUUUUGGCCCUUUUUGCUCUAUCCCUAGCAACUCUACUCUCACUGGUCCUCAUUUCAAUCCACUAAGCACAAUCUACUGCUGCGGAGUAGGUUUUGAAAUCUCGGGAUGCCACAGCCCUAAACAGUGGCUCUACUAGCCCAUCCACAAACCUCUGAAUCUUCAUCUCCUCAGUGAAAAGUAGGUAGGGAGCAUACCGAGACAACUGCGUGAACUUGAUGUCAUACUCCGACACUGUCAUACUCGAGGUCUGUACCAGAGUCUCAAACUCCCUAGCUCGUGCAUUACGUACACUGAAUGGUAAAAAUCGGUCUAAAAAGGCUACACUAAACUCACCCCAAGUCAAUGGUGCUACAUCCGUCAGUCUACCUCUACAUAGAGAACUAUACCAUUCCUGCGCCACAUCCUCUAAUCAGAAGGCUGCUAACUCGACUGAUCGGACACUAGAGCAUCCCAAAGCCUUACAUAUUUUCUCCAUCUUAUCUGAAAAGAUCUAGGGCUUUUCCAACACAUCGGACCCUGAAAAUGAUGGAGGCUUAAGCUUAAGAAAAUCAGGAAGAGAAAUCUCUAAGUGACCCUUCUCAACCUCAUGAUAUUGGCGGUCGGCCUGUCCUUGGAGCUAGGGGAUUCUUGCACUGUAGGUCUCCCCUUUACUACCCUCUGUAUAUCCUCCAUACGGGUCAUCAUCAUCUCUACAACCCGAUUAACUCCCUAUAGGCCUGCCGCCAAAUCCUCAAUAGUAAUACCCCCAUCUGGGUGUCUAUCUACAUCACCUUAGGACUGUCCCUCCUCUUGCCUACUCAUAGGCGUAUCCGACCUCACCAGCCUAGUGGCCCUGCCACGUCUACCUCGACCUCUCUAGGUGGAUGCCCGUGGUCUAUCUGCCAUCUCAAUUGGAGCAUCUUGCUCCCCUAACCGUCUUGAGGUGGCUCGUGUCUCAGACGGCAUUCUUACCUAGACAAGAGCAAACACCUGUUAUUAAACACAUAUUAUAAUCAUACUUAAGGUAAAAGGUGGUUUCUAAGAUAGGGAAUCUAUGCGGUCAUUUGGUUGUAAAAUGUGCCGCGGUUCACACUUCACAACCGAAGUUCCCACAUAAAAACCCGACACUCUGCUAGACCAACAAAUGGAAGUCCUAGGACCUAGACAAACCUAGGGCUCUGAUACCAAGAUUGUCAUGACCCAAUUUUUCAGGCCAUGACCGACGCAUGGGUCCAAUGGACGUAAUCCACUAAACCCAAGCAAGCCUAUUAUUUAUCUUACUUAUAAUUCCAUUUAUUAUCACUAAGUCAUAUUUCAUAACUUUGAAUCAAAAUAGUGAUAUACAUUGUCAACUCGUACUGGCAUUACUCAUUUAAAAUUUACAUUAAGUUCAUCUAUACAUAACAAAAUAAUACUCGACUUUCAGCGGAGGGACUCGGAUGAAUAUACAGCUACCGAAUGUCGACACACCUACCAAAAGAUGGACACAAGUCUACAAGGACACCUCGUCCAAAUUAUCGGCUGCCUCGUGAUCUGAAAACAUGAAUUUUUAUAAAACGUGAGUACAAUACUCAGUGAAUGAAUAUUAGAAGGGAACAAGCAAUCUCAAUCAGGAAAUUUGACAAUCAUGAUGCACCGGUUGAAAAUAAAGCCAUUUUCAUCUAACUACUAUUCCAAACCCUUUUUCCCUUACCUAGAAAUUUAUUACGCAUUCAAGGAUUAAACAUCCUUGAAUUUACACCGAUCCUUCUAGCAAAGUAGUAAAACUGAUGGUUAUUUACAAAUCAUCACACAAUAAGGGUUUCCCAAGCCGUAUGAUUCAUAUAUGCAUAUGUAUCACGUACAAUUUCAUUCACCAAUUGUUCUAUCAAGCAAGAUAGCAAAAUUAACGGUUUAUCACAAACCGUCACAAACAAGGGUUUCACAUACCACACAAUCAAACAUAUAUACACAAAGAUAUGAGCAAUUAUAUACAUCGCCAAGUCUUCACUAUUCUUGGUGGUACAAAGAAAUAACUAUCGGACUACUCGGUAAGGGGUAUCACUCAGUAUCCCUCUUUGCACACCUCUGAAUUUUUAGGAAAUUGUGGGUAUUACGUAUCGCCGUCCCCACAACCUUUAUCAUUAAACCGGCAUUGCACUUCCCACUCCGCACAUGUACGGUUGUAAUUAUCACAUCCUUUAUCAUUCAACUGGCAUUGCACUUCCCACUCCGCACAUGUACGGUUGCAUCAAUUUCACCAUAAUUUAUUAAUAAUGCAUAUCAGCAUAAUACAAGGGUACACAGAUUCAGUACACUUAAUUUCACACAAUUUCUCAAUAAUACAUGUAGGCAUCAUACAGAUAUACACAGAUGCAUCGCAAUCAUAUUUAACAUCACAGAAAUAUUUUCACUAAAGUCUUGCUCCCGAGAUUCAUUUUUAAAUUAGAAUUAGAUAAUCAUUCACUCAUUUCAUUUCAACUUAAUUAGAAUUCCCAAACAAAUUUUGAAACGCAAAUUCACUCACUGGUGUCGAAAAUUCAGAUUCUGAGUGCACUCGGACUAAUAGUCCUCAAGCGCAAUGCCUUUGCCUUUUCCAAACGUCUCACUACCUUGUCAAAUAACAAAGUUGAGGAAUUUACUAUAUUGUCCCUAAAUUGAUAUAAACUAAUUUAAAUUACUAACGCUUGAUAUGUAAAUACAAAAAAACGUCCGAUUAUCGCUUAAUCGCGGUAUCGAUUAAAUUCGAUCGAUCACCCGAUUAAUUAGCAAUUGUGUCCAAAUCACCUCCAAAUUAAUCCAUUUCUCCUCUAAUACCUUAAUUUACCACAUACCAUUUAAAUAAAGCCCAAUUCAGCAUUAGAACCCUCACAGUUCCUUAUAGAAAAAUUCGAUCAUUUGGUGCACUAGCACCGAAAUUUUUUCUACAUAACCAUUUCACCUUAAUUCAUCAUUUUCCAAGCCAUUUUCCUUGAAAUAAAAACAAUCCCCCAUUGAUAUUCAGCCCUCAUGGUUCGAACAACAAGGAACCCUACAGAAAUUGAAUAUUUCUUUUGUGUUUUUGUUCAUAACCAUGCUUAACUAUCCCUAAACACUAACAUAGUCUAAAAUCAAAUUAUUCCAACAACAAUUCCUCUUCCAUACCCAUUUUUAAGAAUUGAAUUCAUCAUGAUAACUCAAUAUUCAACCAUGGAAAUCAAGAACAAAAGCAUGGGUAAGCUAGGUAUCAAGUAGAAUUAAAGAAAUAUUAACUUACCUAGCUUGUUUCCUUGAUUUCUUCACUUUUUCUUUGAAUUUCCACCAAGUUUUCUUGUUUUUCCCUUUGUUCUUCCUUUUUUCUUGUUGUUGGUUGUCUAGGCCGAAUAUGGUGAGAGAAUUGGGGAUUUAAGGGGCUGAUUUCUAUAGAAAAUAAUAAAAUAAUCAAGCAUGCCACGUGUCACAUGCUUAUUGGCCCAAUUUUUUAACUUUUUGACUUUUUCUUCUUAAUUUUCCACCACAAAUAUUCUGGUAUUUAUCCAAUCCUACCACAAUUAAAAUCCCUUGGUCUUGACAAGUGCUGGGGCAAAAAAUUUACCGAUUUGCCUUCGAGGUAAAGAAAUUACGAUUUUGCCCCUAUACUCCGAAAUGUACCAGAAUCACAUUAUUUCUACUUUUCAACCUCAAAUAACACUAAUAUUGAUCAAUAUUAACCAAAUGGGGCAAAAAUCGUUUUAUAAAAAUUCCCGUUUAGUCUUCUAGUUGUAAAAUUACCAUUUUACCCUUGUGCUCCAAAAAUACCGAGAAUCACAAUUUUUCACUACUAAACAUCAUUCUAUACUCCAAUAAUCAUAAUUGUAUUUCAUAAUUAUUCUUGGUCAAAUGUGAUCAAAUCUUCACUAGAAAUCUCCAUUUUAUCAUCAAAUAGUAAAAUAACCGUUUUGUCCCUAAUCGGUCAAUUUUCCUAAUGGACUCCAAACUAGGCCUUGAACUCCGAAUCACUAUUCUAAGCCAUUAUGUGGGUUUCAAAAUUUUCAAUUUCCUCUUAGAAUUUCUAUUUGAACUAGUUCAAGGCUCGAUUUAACUUAGUUGUACCACUCGGUACAAUACCGUCUUUUAAUCGAGCUUGAUAGGGUCUCACAUUGGGUACCUUGGAAAUCGUUAAAGGACUAUAUUCUACCAAAUGGUACAAUUAAGUUGAAUUAAGCCUCGAACUAGUCCAAAUAGAGAUUUUAAGAUGAAAUUGAGAAUUUUAAAAUCCCAGAAUGACUUAGAUUGGUGAUUCGAAGUUCGAGGACCGAUUUGGAGUCAAAUUGAAAUUUUCAUGACCUAAGGGCAAAAUGAUCAUUUUUCCACCUGAGGUUAAGAUGUGAGCGUUGGCUGGAAUUUUUGACUAAGAUUGAUCAUUGGGAGUAUAAUUUGAGUUUGAGAAGUGAAGAAUUUUAAUUUCAGCAUUUUUGUGAGCAUAGGGGUAAAAUAGUCCUUUUGCCACCCCAAGGGUAAAAUUAUAAUUUUACACCACCCAACACUUGUCCAGCACAUGAAUUUUACCCAAUAUUGUCAUGGAUAAUUGAGGAAAUUUAAGUGGUGGAGAGAGAUUGCUUAAUGUCUAAGUAUGACACAUAGACCAAUGGAAUGGUGACAUGUGUCAAAAUCCCAUCCAUUCAUUAUUUUCUUUAUAAAUUAGCGCAAAAUUAGCCCAUUUCUCUUCAUUAUGGCCAGCCAUAGCAAGAACAAAGGAAGAAAAGAAGAACACAAACCCUAGGUGGAAAAAUUCAAGGGAAAAGUGUGAAAAUUCAAGGGAUCAAGCAAUCAAAGGUAAAAUUUCUUGAUUUUGACUUGUGAUCUACCUUUCCCAUGCAUUAAUUUGCAUUUUCCAUGGUUGAAUCACAAGAUAUCAUGAAGGAUUCAUAGCUGAUUGAAUUUAGAAAGAGAAGAUUUGAUGAUUGAUUUGGUUAGAUUUUAUGAUAUUUUAGUGUUUUUAGUUAGUUAGUGAUGUGUAGCAUGAAAUCCAAGUAAGAAAAAUUCAUUUUCUCCCAUCACCCAUCAUUGGCCAAAUUUUCCAUGUAUAGUGUGGAUAAUGAUUUUGAUUUUAUUUCAAGUGAAUUGGUUAGGAAAUGAUGAUUUAUGGUGUGAAAUUCAAGAAAAAUCAUAGUAUUGAUCCACCCACCAUGGCCGAAUUUUCCAAGAGAAAAUGUGAAGAUGAUUUUGCUAGAUUUUAUGCUAUUUAACUUGUGUUUGAUAAUCUUGAGUAUUGGGAGAGAAAUGGAGUUAAUUGGAGUUGAAUUGGACAUAUUGGCCAAUUAAUCGAGUGAUAGAUCGAAUUAGGCCAAUACCGAUUUAAUUAGGGACCUAAAUGAAUUUGUGUAAAAUACCAUGUUUAGACGAUAAUCCGAAUAAUUUGCAUCCCAUUCCAUGCAUUAGUAUAGAGCCUGAAUUGGUUUUAUAACAAUUUAGCACAAAUGUAGUAAAUGGCUUAUUGUGCAUUAUGUCUAGGUGGUGAGCAUUUUAGCAAAAGUAAAGAGAUAGCACCCGAGGAUCAAGAAUCGGAGUACUUGAAAUUCGACUCCAGAAAUAGUGAGUAACCUUAUCAUCAUCUUGAUUAUCUGAAGUGAAUUUUAAUUCGUUUUUGUGAUUUUAUGGAAAAUGAGUUUAAAUGGUAAAUCUUUAUGUUUUAAAAGCAAAAUGUGAUUAAAUGAAAUGAUUUUAUAAAAUUGUCUUGAAAUUGAAUGAUGGUUUUGGAAAAUGGAACACUUGGAGACUAAUUGUCGUGUUGUAAAUUAUGGUUUGAAUUGAGUGGCUUAUGAUAAUGUGGGCAUAAGUGGCUGGAUUGGUAAUUGUGCUAAACAUAUGUGAGCUGUUGUUUUGCGUUGACAUGAUGUGUUGUAAAAUAAUUGCCACGUUAUGCUGCUAAAAUUUUAUUGAUUUGGUGGGAUAUCGAUUAACUUACUGCAGUGGGCGGGUUUUCGUGGACCAGCCUAUUAGAGAGGCACGGUAAACCCCAUUAUAUCUUACCUCAGUAUGAGAGGCGCGGAUGGAUAACUCCUGAGGUUAACACUUUAGAGUUCACUUCACGCCAAACCACCACGUGAGGGUAAACUCAACCAACACCAAGGAACGGCUAUGUUUCAAAAUAAAAACAUGAUUUAAGCGAACAUAACUUUUUAACAGCCUUGGCGGACUCAGUUGGGAUAGCCCUCAAUCAAGGCAUCCCUGAUAACUAGGUAUGAGAAUGAUUUUGGUAGUAACCAAAAUUUUAAGAAAUUCAUAAGCCAUGUUGAUUACUUGAUUUAUAUGAAUUGAUUUUAUUUGGUUGAAACAAGUUGAAAGGUGAUGUAUUACACUAUGUUAAACUAUUUUAUUUGUCUCUAUUUACUCAGCUUUAGAUAUUUUAGAUGGUAUUUGUUUACUCAUUGGGAUUAUAUAAUCUCACCACGCUCCUUUCCACCCCUUUCAGGCUCAAGAUAGUCAGUAGAUAGCUAACUUUGUUGAGGGCUACAGUUGGACUUGCAUCCUCAAAAACUGUAGGUUUACAACUUUUAUUACUUUUGGUUAUUCGAUGGCCCACUUGCUAUUGUAAAUUAAAUUAAAUACUCUGGCUUAUUGUAUUACAAUAUAUAUGAAUUUAUUUUUCUUUUACAUUGUAAAAAUUAUUUAUGCAGUGUUCUAAAAAUAUUGUUUUAUGAGAA